This 657-nucleotide small RNA is filed under the name Pan troglodytes (chimpanzee). Its description in RNAcentral is "processed transcript". The record is from RNAcentral. Lineage: Eukaryota; Metazoa; Chordata; Mammalia; Primates; Hominidae.
CUCAACCGCGAGGCAGUCCUCCCCUCUGCCCUCCUGUCCACAACACAACUGCUCCCCGCCUCUCACUUGAGGGCACCGGGGCCAGCCCCCGAGACGAGAGGUCGGCCGCAGCCCUCCUCCACGGGGCUCACGACCCGGGGGCCUCACGACCCGGGGGCCCCACGACCCGGGGGCCCCAUGCUGCCACCCUUACCCCGGGGCCCCCAACCUCACCCGCCGCCGCCACCCUCGGUCCCGGCCACUGCGGGCGGCUCUGCAGAAGAGCUACGCUCCGUCCAGUCGGACCCUGGACCCUGGCCGGGCAUCUCCGCGGCGCCGAGACCGCGAGCCGUGUGCGGGAGCAGCUGUCCCAGCGUCCCUCCGCCGACAGCACGCUAUUCCAGAUCCUCAGCACAUUCGCAAAUCGCGAGGGUCACCAUACAGGUCAAACGUCUGCACGCAAACCACGGACCGAAGCACGCGGCGCAAGGAUGCGGAGCUUUAUCUGUUGUCCGUUAUUACUCAGAGCACCUACUGUGCCACCAUGGUCCAGCACUGUGAAGCCCUCAACCGGUCUGUCCAAGUUGUAAACCUGGAUCCAGCAGCAGAACACUUCAACUACUCCGUGAUGGCUGACAUCCGGGAACUGAUCGAGGUGGAUGAUGUAAUGGAGGAUGA